CCUACGGGAGGCAGCAGUGGGGAAUAUUGGACAAUGGGCGGAAGCCUGAUCCAGCCAUGCCGCGUGUGUGAAGAAGGCCUUUUGGUUGUAAAGCACUUUAAGCGAGGAGGAGGCUACUAGUAUUAAUACUACUGGAUAGUGGACGUUACUCGCAGAAUAAGCACCGGCUGACUCUGUGCCAGCAGCCGCGGUAAUACAGAGGGUGCGAGCGUUAAUCGGAUUUACUGGGCGUAAAGCGUGCGUAGGCGGCUGAUUAAGUCGGAUGUGAAAUCCCUGAGCUUAACUUAGGAAUUGCAUUCGAUACUGGUCAGCUAGAGUAUGGGAGAGGAUGGUAGAAUUCCAGGUGUAGCGGUGAAAUGCGUAGAGAUCUGGAGGAAUACCGAUGGCGAAGGCAGCCAUCUGGCCUAAUACUGACGCUGAGGUACGAAAGCAUGGGGAGCAAACAGGAUUAGAUACCCUGGUAGUCCAUGCCGUAAACGAUGUCUACUAGCCGUUGGGGUCUUUGAGACUUUAGUGGCGCAGCUAACGCGAUAAGUAGACCGCCUGGGGAGUACGGUCGCAAGACUAAAACUCAAAUUGAAAUUGACGG
Molecule: ribosomal RNA, 589 nt
Filed under: uncultured bacterium
Lineage: Bacteria
Description: bacterial SSU rRNA
Rfam family: Bacterial small subunit ribosomal RNA
Source: RNAcentral